RNAcentral lists this unclassified non-coding RNA (372 nucleotides) under soil metagenome. RNAcentral describes it as "partial contains 5.8S ribosomal RNA, internal transcribed spacer 2, and large subunit ribosomal RNA". The stretch from base 1 to 120 matches the Rfam family "5.8S ribosomal RNA", at positions 35 to 154 of the family's 154-position model. The record is from RNAcentral.
GAUGAAGAACGCAGCGAAAUGCGAUAAGUAAUGUGAAUUGCAGAAUUCAGUGAAUCAUCGAAUCUUUGAACGCACAUUGCGCCCUUUGGUAUUCCGAAGGGCAUGCCUGUUCGAGCGUCAUUAUCACCCCUCAAGCCCUCGGCUUGGUGUUGGACGGUUUGGUGGAGGCCCCCUCGGGGGCUCCUGCCCCUCCCAAAGACAAUGACGGCGGCCUCGUUGGAUCCCCGGUACACUGAGUUCUUCACGGGACACGUAUCGGACACAUGGGUUUACGGGACACGGUCUGCCUCCCCUCAGGGAGAAUCUUUCUAAGGUUGACCUCGGAUCAGGUAGGGAUACCCGCUGAACUUAAGCAUAUCAAUAAGCGGAGGA